This 239-nucleotide unclassified non-coding RNA is filed under the name Hevea brasiliensis (rubber tree). Lineage: Eukaryota; Viridiplantae; Streptophyta; Magnoliopsida; Malpighiales; Euphorbiaceae. The record is from RNAcentral.
GCUUGAUGCUUGAGAGGGUACUACUAUAGUGUUCUCAUUCAAAGAAACUGAACUCCUACCCAUCUGAAAACUGUUUGACGAAACAGAGGGAACUACUAGACAUGAUGGCUGUACGUUGAUAGCAUGAUUGGAUUCUGGUGGCACAGUGUAGGGCUGUUUCUUUUCUAACAUAUGCAUUACCAAGUUGCCAUUGUGAUUACUGUUGACCCCUCUGGAAGAACCUGUAGUACCAAGAUGAU